This 422-nucleotide ribosomal RNA is filed under the name uncultured Chitinophagaceae bacterium. RNAcentral's name for it is "bacterial SSU rRNA". It matches the Rfam family "Bacterial small subunit ribosomal RNA", at positions 353 to 772 of the family's 1533-position model. The record is from RNAcentral. Lineage: Bacteria; Pseudomonadati; Bacteroidota; Chitinophagia; Chitinophagales; Chitinophagaceae.
AGUAAGGAAUAUUGGUCAAUGGACGCAAGUCUGAACCAGCCAUGCCGCGUGGAGGAUGAAGGUCCUCUGGAUUGUAAACUUCUUUUAUCUGGGAAGAAACCCAUGUUUUCUAACGUGGUUGACGGUACCAGAUGAAUAAGCACCGGCUAACUCCGUGCCAGCAGCCGCGGUAAUACGGAGGGUGCAAGCGUUAUCCGGAUUCACUGGGUUUAAAGGGUGCGUAGGUGGGCAGGUAAGUCAGUGGUGAAAUCUCUGGGCUUAACCCAGAAACUGCCGUUGAUACUAUCUGUCUUGAAUAUAGUGGAGGUGAGCGGAAUAUGUCAUGUAGCGGUGAAAUGCUUAGAUAUGACAUAGAACACCCAUUGCGAAGGCAGCUCGCUACACUAUUAUUGACGCUGAGGCACGAAAGCGUGGGGAUCAAA